Molecule: non-coding RNA, 1738 nt
Organism: Physcomitrium patens
Lineage: Eukaryota; Viridiplantae; Streptophyta; Bryopsida; Funariales; Funariaceae
Source: RefSeq, a predicted model, not a curated record
GCGCUCGCUGUGCCCCUACUUAUUGCUGGCUUCCCCUCAACCCCUACUUACCUUUCCGGAGAACCUUCUUCCGUGUGUGCCUGUGAAGUCGAGGGUUCUGUGUUUGCUCCAGGCCUUGACUCGCGUGCACUUGUUGCUCAGGCUAUUGUUGCUCAGGCUUUUGUUGUACUGAUUCUUCUCCUGUGUUGAGGAGUUGUCGUGGUCCUGGUUGUUCAUAACGUUUUUAGUCUAGGUAGCUGGGUAACUAUGUUGGGGUAUCAUUAUUCUCCUGGAAGCGACUUGUAUUGAAUGGGAAAUGAUGACAAGUAUUCGCCAUUCCCGAAUGUAUCCUCUGUGAUACAUCAUGUGGGUUUGCGAAACAUGAGUUGCACGUCAGUCUGAUCCUUCUUUGUCGCGCUGUGAUGUAGUUCAUCACUGAAUAGUGAUAGCCCGAUGGAAGCUACUAAAUUUCUUUCCUGCUGAACGCAUGCCGUGAGGGGUUAUUUUGUCUCACAGGUAUCGCAUUGUCGAAUGUGAUGAGGAAGAAUUGUCGCCCCAGUCCUAUGCGAGCUUUAAAGCUCCCUGAGGAUUGACUCUUUAUUUCUCUGAUUCGAAGUGAUGAUCCUUAGCGAAUGUUUCGAGAACCAGUGAUGCAAUAAAAUCCGAAAACAUCUGAUUUCCGUGAUGUCCAAACAAUCACCAUCUUUCGACUGAGGUUCUCCGUAAACGUGGCUUACAGCCGCAACAGAGCUGGUAGUUGGCACGAGCAUCGGUCAACUCAGAUCUUUCUGUAUAGAUGUACAUUACUUUUCAGAACCAUUGAGAUAUACGCCAACCAUUAAUUCAGGGAGAUGUAGAUUUCUGAGGAGGAACCCUAUCCGAUCAUUAAAGCUCCAUGAGGAUUGAUUCUCUACUUCUUUGAUUCGAAGCGUUGAUAUUUUGACGACUAUUUUGAGAAUCACUGUUGCAGUAAAAAUCCGAAACAUCUGAUUUCCGUGAGGUUCAAACAAUCACCAUCAUUCAACUGUAGUUAUCCGCAAACUUGACUAAAACAUGCGGAUAAACGUUUCUAGUUGCCAUGAACAGCGAUCUGUCCUGAGUCCAUCGGCAACAUUAACAUUCCUGAACAGAUCUUAUUAGCUUUCAAGAAUCGUAGAGAUGAAUACCCCAUUGCCAUGAGCUUGCAUGGAGGAUGUUAUAAGACAUUCAUUUCGACACAUGCAUAUGAUUAUAAACAGAUGUGCAUCCGGGUUACCGCUCUCAACACCUCUCCGCACGUUUUCAAGUAUCACUAAAACAGCCAUUAAUAGGCAUGACAAAAGUCAGAUAUGGCAAUUCAGCUGUUCUCGGAAUGGAAGUGAUGACAGAUAUUCGCCCCUCCCGAACGUAUCCUCCGUGAUACAUCAUGUGGGUUAGCGAAUCAUGAUUUGCACUGCCAGUACUUGGGAGGCCGUUUUGAGAACCAGUGAUGCAAUGAAAAUCCGAAAACACCUGAUUACUGUGAUGUUCAAACAAUCACCAUCUUUCGACAGAGGUUCUCCGGAAAAAUUGCUGUUUUUCGGUAUCUGAGGGUGGUAGAUGACGCGAAUUGCGAUCUCUUCUGUGUAAGUUAGCUACCGUAACACAUUUGCUCAGAUCUAGAUCUAAUUUCUGAAGUGAUGGGGUAAACCUUGUUGUAAUCUCCUCUGUGUAAAGGAUUUUAUGUUCAAAAUCUAGUGGGAGUGCAAUGCAAUAUUAAUGAAAUACACCUGUCUGAAUA